RNA transcript from Panicum virgatum (switchgrass), 5195 nucleotides. It is a transcript of the gene named pentatricopeptide repeat-containing protein At5g15280, mitochondrial-like, with no coding region annotated. The transcript has 4 exons. NCBI's taxonomy places the organism in Eukaryota, Viridiplantae, Streptophyta, Magnoliopsida, Poales, Poaceae. The record is from RefSeq and is a predicted model, not a curated record.
CGGCCUAAUCGCCUCAGAGGCCAUCGUCUUCCUCGAGCCGCCGCCGUUUCUCGGCUCCGCCUCCUCAGCUCCCCUGACCUCAUCCGGGUCCGGCGGGAGUCGCUGAUCAGAUGCGGCGUGCGGGUCUUUUCUCAACGGCGGGGCUAAGAGUCCGUAUAGGAGUAGAUGUGGAAGCCAUGGCGGUUACCCGGCGCAAUUCGUAUCCGUUAUCUCAGGAGAGAAGCCAAGUUUGGAGGCCGAGGGUUUGCCAAUGAUGCCCCGGAGCUGAACUCCGACAACGGGAGCUUGUUCAGAGGUGGAAGCAGCCACGUUGGGGAGAAACGCAAUCCAGUCUUUGCAGGCGCUCCGGAGGAAGCUGGGUCUGAUUUGGGGCAGAAAACUGAAGGACAGUUCAAACCCGAUGCCCAUUCUGCAGUAAAAUCGUGCUCUGGUAUUGGGAGUCUGGUUAUAUCCAAGUGCGCUCACAUAUUUGAGAGUAGAGGGGACACCUUUGAUGGCAACUGCAGCUUGCAAGAUGUUCUUAAGCCUGGUUUGUGGCUCUCAUCGGAGACCCUUCGCCGGUUCUGGCGCGUCUCUGAGCUGAAGCCUGAUGAUUUUCUUGACAUAUUGAUUGGUUUUGGGUCUAGCCCGGGACAAGUGAGGAAGGCGAGGUUUUUAUGGAAUUUGUACAGGUGGGCUUCACAGCAAAGCAAGGAGUUCCAACAUCUGCCAAGGUCAAAUGAGACCAUGGUAGCCAUACUUGUGGAUGCUCAUAUGCUCAGUCUGGCUGAAUCACUACUGCUCUCAUUGCAUCAUCAUAUGGCUCUGGCUGUUUCAAGUGAACUAUUCAGUCGGAUUAUCCAAGCGUAUUCAGAAGCAAGCAACCUCGAGAAAUCAGUUGCACUUUACGAUUAUGCAAGGUGUAAGUGUUUGAUUCCUUCAGUUUCAUGCUACCAAGCACUUCUUCAUUUUCUGAUCAGAAAGAGAAAGGAUGAAUUGCUUUUAAGAGUAUAUUUGGACAUGCUUGAAGCUGGGUUCGGUUCUUACACCAAAGGAGACAUUCUUGAUUCUGUUGUCAUGGCUUUAAUCAAGAAAGACAAUUUUUUGCAAGCUCUUGCUAUACUUCGGCAACUAAAGAGUUUGGGUCUUAAAUUAAGCAAGGGAUCCUUAUCAUUUAUAGUAGAAGAAUUUAACAAGAAACAGGAUAUUGGGGAUAUGAUGAACUUUUUGGAAGAGUGGAGAUGUUUACCUGAGUUGCGUCUUUGCAACAGAAUCCUUGCGUCUUCAUGCACAAAUCUCAGUACUGAUCAGGCAUGGUUGGUCUUCCAAAGAUUGGAGGCCUUAGGGUUUUCUCCAGAUGCUACUACUUUUGGAAUUUUCAUAUUUCAUAGCUUUAGAGAAAUGAAACUUAAAUCUGCAUUCGUAUAUUUAUCAGAGUGCUUUUCUAGACAUAUUAAACCUAGAGUGUGUGCUUAUAAUGCUAUUUUAGGUGGCGUUUUCAGGGAGGGACUGUACAGACAUGCAAAGUAUGUCUUUGAAGAUAUGGUUGAAAGAAAAGUAACGCCUAAUGUUUCAACAUAUAAGAUAAUUCUGGCAGGAUAUUGCUGGUAUAGACAGUUUGAUGAUAUUGAACGAGUCUUGAGGGAUAUGAAAACCAAUGGUGUAAAUGAUCUUCCCUCUGGAAACUGUGCACUCUCUAAGACCUUAUCAUUCUUGGGGCUAGAUCACCUAGGAGUGAAAAUUAAGAGAGAUAAUGCCACUGGUUUCCCGAAAGCUGAGUUUUUUGAUUCGGUUGGCAACGGUCUUUAUUUGGACACUGACUCAAAAAAGUUUGAGAUUUCAUUGGCACAGAUUUUGGAUACUGCAGUUCAACCAGAUGUUAACUCAGAGCUAGUCAGUGCAUCUCAGCAAGGCAAUGUUGCAAGUGCUCUUCUCGUGAAAGAUGAAGCUUUUCAAUGGGGAUAUGCCAUUUCACCAGCUAGCUGCGCAGAAUUAUUCAAGGCCUUAUGUGUGAGCCCUGCAUAUAUAAUAGAUGCCAUUGACCUUAUGGAGGAGAUGCCAGCUAUAUUUGACAACUUUGGUGCUCAAAACCUUAAUUUAUUUAUCCAAACCUUGAGUAGGAAUGGGAUGUCAGCUCAUGCAAGACUGAUUUUUAAAAAAAUGGUCAGAGAAGGCUUGUCAAUCAGUCAAGAUACAUAUACUUAUUUGAUGAUAGGUUUCUGCAGAGAAAGAAACAUAGCAGGGUUUUGGGAAUGUUGGAAUCUUGCAACAAAUUAUAGGUGGUCACCUGAUAGCAAGGAUAUGAUGGCCCUCACCAGUUGCUUGUGCAAAUGGGGAGUAAUUGAGGAAGCCCUGAAGCUUAUGAACCCGUUAUUUGACUGUUAUCCUGAUCUAUUUUUCAGUGCAUAUUAUACACUUCUCGAAGAAUUGUGCAGGACAGGUUUUACCAGUGUUGGAUGUGCAAUGUUGGAGGCUCUCAAAGAAAAGGGAAUGGUUGUGGAUCGCUCAAUGCUCUUUUGUGUGAUGGAGGGCUUCCUAAAGGAGCAGAAGACUGCCGAAUCAAUUGGAAUGUAUGACAUGUGGCUUUACAAAUGCAAAGAACUAGAUGCAUUUACUUUCAGUGCUAUAUUGCCUUCACUGCCAUUGCUUGAUACGGACCGAGCCAAGAACUUGGUAGAAUCUAUACUGAACAUGGAAUUUACUGAAUUCUCAUAUUGCAGUUGCAUUUUGAAGGAAUUAGUGCAAACAGGAAAUAUGAAGCGGGUAAUGCCAGUCUUGCAAGAAUCAACUCCUGGGAAGUUCAGUGGCACCUUGUUAAAUUCUUUAAUUCAAGCAUAUGGUUGUCUAAAAAAUUGGAGAAUGUUAGAUGCAGUUCUUUGCAUGAUGCUGAAGAUGCAUGCCGACCUUUCUAUAUCUAGCUAUCGCUUCCUUGUCUGUAGAAUGUGUGAGCAAAGUCGGUUUUCUAGUGCAUCAAGCCUUAGGACACUGUUCCAACAUAGUGACAAGUCAAGAAAGCUAAUUUCAUGCAAUAUUCUAAUAUUUUAUCUUUUUCAGAGAAGGAACACCUCACAGGUUCAUGAUUUAUUGAAGGACAUGGAAUGUAAUGGUAUUUCUCCAGACAGAACGACCUAUGACUUCCUUGUUUAUGGAUUUCACAAGUCUGGAGAUGCCAAUAGUUCAGUUUGUAUGCUUGAUGCCUGUAUUGCUCAGGGAAUACAACCAAGCAACCGCGGUCUUAGAAUAGUGUUGAGUCAUUACUGCAGGCUAGGAAACCUUGACAAAUCACUAGCAUUAUUUCACUUGAUUGAGAGCAGUGGAUGGAAGCAUGGUUCUAUCAUUAGGACCAUCCUCACUUCAUGUCUCCUUUCAUCUGGGAGACAUUUGGAAGCAAAAUUAUGUCUGAACAACCUGAGCAAAAGUGAGUUUAUCGGAUCGUACACCAAUUUUGAUGACCUCAUCAAGAAAUUUUGCAUACUAGGAGACUUGAAAACGUCUCUUAAUCUGCUAGAUACAAUGUUAAAGAAAGGCAAACUACCUAGUGAAGUCAGUUACAAUUCUGUUAUAUACAGGCUGUGUAUAUUAAAAGAAUUUGACCAGGCACUUGAUUUUCUUGUGGAAAUGCAUUUUACAAACCUAACACCAAGUGAGACCUCCUGUGAUGCACUUGUACACGGCCUUUGUGCCACAGGAAGAACUUGUGAUGCUAGGAAGAUUUUGCAAAUGCUAAUCACCUUGGGAUCUGCACCAUCCUAUGGCAUGUAUAGAGUUGUUCUUGAUAGCUAUCACAGAAGUAAUAAUCUACAGAAGGCUACGGCACUUUUGCAUGACAUGCAACAAGCAGGGCAUGUACCCAACUUUGAGAUGCAUUGGUCGAUUAUAAGCAAUUUCAGCAGUACCAAUGAGAAAGCUGAAGGGCAUGGAGAGCCCAUUUUGCCAAACCUUUUCCUUAAUCCCCCAUAAUAGUCAUAAUUUGACAUGUGGUUUUAAGAAAAUGGUGAACUGAUGACUAUUGUCAAGUUGAACCCUGUGGAACUGACAACACUCAGUGAAACCAAGCUUAUGCAACACUGCAACUCUAAUGUGCUACUCGGGGAAUGAAGGUUCAUAGAAAUGCAAGAGUACGCUGGAGAAACAAUGUAUCUUUGAUUUGAAGUAUCAAAAGAGAGAAUCAGAUCAGAUCAUUACUUGCCACCACAACCUUCUUCUCUGCGACUUAGCUUACAGAGUGUGCCCCUGCUAAAGGGAUCAUGCAAAGGUGAUAGCAUGAUCUAUCUUACAAAUGAAAACAGUAAUAUUGAAAAAUUUUCUUUUCAUUAUUGGCAUGGACAUAAAGUACGUAGACUACUUUUUGUGUUGAUCAAGACAACAGUGAUAUUUAUCACUUCAGCAAAGCUGAAGCUACAUGUUCGACCUUCAGCACCUCUGUAAAAGCGGAACAAUGGCAAGACUUAUACAUUGAGCCUCUUACAGAUCUCUGUCUGUUCAUUAUAGUUGAUCAUAACAAAUUGCAUUCCUGGAUGCAUCCUGGCAAAUUGAUGUACCUCUGUGGACAUUUGACAAAAAGGUACUAUAUAUCGACAUUUGACAAAAAGUAGGGAAAUUACCUUCUUGGGAUCUUUUGGUACAGCUCUGGUGAUCUGCCAACCAGUUGCGGCAACCUUUUCUCUGGGCAAGAAUUGCUCCCCCUUGAUCCCAUUGUGGUUCCAAGUCAAUACCUUGAAGCAAAAAUCAGUUCCAUUGCUCGUGUGUCCACGACAAGAUGAACGACCAACAACCCAAUGGGUUGUCAAAGCUGAAGCCAUCGACAUCAUUAAACUGGAAACAGAAAGGAAUAUGUAACAAAUCGUGCUUCAUGAAAAAUACUACAGAAAGAGCACAGCAUGCCUCAAACUAACUGGACAAGCUCUACAGAAUCUGGAAAUCUUCUGAUGUUGAAGUGGGGAUGGCCGUACUGAGGUAUUGAUAGCUGAAGAUACUGCUGUUUCAGAAGCUAAGUACACCUAAUCCUAGCUACGAAACCUGCUUUUUUUUUUGAACUUUCCAGUUCAAUGUUUUACCACUCUGCCUAUAAAAAAAUGUUUAUCACUCUCAAAAGUGGUUCUGUUGGCUCAUCCAAAUGCACACAGUGACAUAGGUACUGUCAGAAUUUUUGUAUCUUUUUUGGUGUAAUCUUCAUGCAUUGUGGAUAUAUGAAUGAUGUGUAAAUGAUAUUUCUA